UAAAAAAAAAUACAGUCCAAUGGGCUUAUACUAAAAAGCCUUUUAGGGUUUUGUAAAUAGCAGCGUGGAAGAUCCGCAGCCGUUCAUAAACUUCGCAUUUUCCACCGUCGACGUCUUUAUAUACGAAUCGAAUCAACUCUAUCAAUAGUCGAUAACAAGGGUUUUAGCAGCGGCGAUAAUUAUGAAUCGACUCUUUGUUGCUAGAUUUGGUGCACUCUAGACUGCAAAAUGUUUAUGGAGAAGGUCAUUCGAAUAGUUGAAAGCGAGCAAGUAGGGAAAAAUAGCACAGAGGGGGAUGAGGCUGCUGGUUUACUUGAGAAUAUUUCGGUUGAGGAUAAGAAAAGUGUAGAGAAAGCCAAGGAAGAUGAUAAAGGGGAAAGCUCUGGUAAGGAAGAGAAGGAAGAACAAAAAAAAAACAAAGAUGAGCACCUGGUUGUUGACAUCACAAAUUAUUUGGUCACUUGGCAUUGACAUGAUAGUUGCUUCAAAAGGAGUCAUUCUUGGCCAUGUAUUAAUAUAGAAGAGAGUCUUACGAUUAUUGUUGUUGUUGUUAUAAGUGUUUGACUUGGGUGGUCUUUUUAUUCUGUCUUUUGUACUAUUUCUCAUCAAAUUAUAUUAUUAUUGGGUCUUUUAACUUUGUUUCAGACCAUAAUAUGUUGUCCUAUUCUGAUCAUGUUGUUAUUUUCCAUUUUAUAAAUGAAUAAAAAAUAUUCACUUUGA
This is a long non-coding RNA of Brassica napus (rape), 720 nucleotides long. RefSeq lists it as uncharacterized. The transcript is spliced from 2 exons. NCBI's taxonomy places the organism in Eukaryota, Viridiplantae, Streptophyta, Magnoliopsida, Brassicales, Brassicaceae. The record is from RefSeq and is a predicted model, not a curated record.